GGUUUCACCCGAAGAUGGUGCGCUAACCUUUUAGGAGGCAGCCAGCCACGGUGGGAUCAGCGACUGGGGUGAAGUCGUAACAAGGUAGCCGUAGGGGAACCUGCGGCUGGAUCACCUCCUUU
This 122-nucleotide ribosomal RNA is filed under the name Hyphomicrobiales bacterium. RNAcentral describes it as "partial 16S ribosomal RNA". It matches the Rfam family "Bacterial small subunit ribosomal RNA", at positions 1413 to 1533 of the family's 1533-position model. The record is from RNAcentral. Lineage: Bacteria; Pseudomonadati; Pseudomonadota; Alphaproteobacteria; Hyphomicrobiales.